RNAcentral lists this ribosomal RNA (433 nucleotides) under uncultured bacterium. RNAcentral describes it as "partial 16S ribosomal RNA". It matches the Rfam family "Bacterial small subunit ribosomal RNA", at positions 29 to 507 of the family's 1533-position model. The record is from RNAcentral.
AACGAACGCUGGCGGCAUGCCUAACACAUGCAAGUCGAACGAGACCUUCGGGUCUAGUGGCGCACGGGUGCGUAACGCGUGGGAACCUGCCCUUAGGUUCGGCAUAACUCCCCGAAAGGGGUGCUAAUACCGGAUAAUGUCUUCGGACCAAAGAUUUAUCGCCUUUGGAUGGGCCCGCGUUGGAUUAGCUAGUUGGUAGGGUAAAAGCCUACCAAGGCGACGAUCCAUAGCUGGUCUGAGAGGAUGAUCAGCCACACUGGGACUGAGACACGGCCCAGACUCCUACGGGAGGCAGCAGUGGGGAAUAUUGGACAAUGGGCGAAAGCAUGAUCCAGCAAUGCCGCGUGAGUGAUGAAGGCCUUAGGGUUGUAAAGCUCUUUUACCCGGGAUGAUAAUGACAGUACCGGGAGAAUAAGCUCCGGCUAACUCCGUG